Molecule: small RNA, 28 nt
Filed under: Bombyx mori (domestic silkworm)
Lineage: Eukaryota; Metazoa; Arthropoda; Insecta; Lepidoptera; Bombycidae
Description: ovarian small RNA-29529
Source: RNAcentral
UCUAUGACCUCCCUUUGCGUACAGCUUC